Molecule: ribosomal RNA, 497 nt
Filed under: uncultured bacterium
Lineage: Bacteria
Description: partial 16S ribosomal RNA
Rfam family: Bacterial small subunit ribosomal RNA
Source: RNAcentral
GAUGAACGCUGGCGGCGUGCCUAAUACAUGCCAGUCGAGCGAACAGACGAGGAGCUUGCUCCUCUGACGUUAGCGGCGGACGGGUGAGUAACACGUGGAUAACCUACCUAUAAGACUGGGAUAACUUCGGGAAACCGGAGCUAAUACCGGAUAAUAUAUUGAACCGCAUGGUUCAAUAGUGAAAGACGGUUUUGCUGUCACUUAUAGAUGGAUCCGCGCCGCGUUAGCUAGUUGGUAAGGUAACGGCUUACCAAGGCGACGAUGCGUAGCCGACCUGAGAGGGUGAUCGGCCACACUGGAACUGAGACACGGUCCAGACUCCUACGGGAGGCAGCAGUAGGGAAUCUUCCGCAAUGGGCGAAAGCCUGACGGAGCAACGCCGCGUGAGUGAUGAAGGUCUUCGGAUCGUAAAACUCUGUUAUUAGGGAAGAACAAAUGUGUAAGUAACUAUGCACGUCUUGACGGUACCUAAUCAGAAAGCCACGGCUAACUACGUG